UUGGGGUCCCUGGUUCCAAACGGCACCAUUAUGUGCCCUUAUUUAAACUAUUUUUAAAAAAAAAAAUCAUUUCUGCUACUUCUUUAAAGAAAAAAAAAAUAGAACCCUCCCCUAUUCUCUGCUAGGGUUUCGAGCCGAACCUUAAGGCCCAUCGUCAACACACCGCGUCUCUGCCAUGGCUUCCACCGUGGACGGUGGUCGGAGCCGCUUGAAAUCGGGUUUUUAACCUUUUUUUAAAAGCAGAUUCGACGGUGAGGCCUUCAUAUACCGAAAAAAAUCAAAAGAAAAGGAACCCCCAUCCUCUCUUUGGGCCGAUUCCGACGGCGGAGAAGAGGUCUCUGACGACAGGGCUACGGGGAUUCGGGUAAGUUUUCCUUUUUCUCUCUUUACUUUAUCUUUUUAUUAAAAUAGAUUUAUAAAUAAAAUUAAAAAGGAAAUUGAAUAGAAAACGAGAAAUCAAAAUCAAAAUCAACCUUUUCUUUUAACUUCUGUUUUGCUUUUGAUUUUUUAAUGUGCGUAAAAAAUUACAAAGGGAUUUAUUUCGGCUUUUAUAGCCGAGUUACACAGAUCUGUUUUUGUCUUUUGCUUGUUGUCUGCUAUUGUUUGCGUGUGGAUUUUUCUUUGCAGGUGUCAGACGCGCAUAGAGGCCGGCGAUGGCGUGCGGCAGCGGUGGCAGAGUGACGUGUGGCACUGGUCAAAGGGGCUAGGGUUUAUUUUGCUGAAAUGUUUUGGAUUAAUUGAGCUCUUAGGAUUUAGGUUAUUGGGUUUUAAAUUUUGAGCUGGUUUAGUUUUGGUUUGAGUUCAAUAUGUAAAUGGACAUUUAUUUUGGACUGUUUAAUUUUUUUAUUUGUUUGGGUUUUAUUUUAUCAACUAGGUCAGACAAAAAUUGGCCUACUACAUAUAUAAUUAAUUGGGAUAGUAUAUUAUUUUAAAUAUUUAUAUAUAUUUUUUAUAUUAUAUAUGUAAAAAAAACUUUCAUUGGGUCAUCCUUCGUAAAAGACGAUUUAAAUAAAUAUUAAAAUCAUAACCCCAAAUUGUUAAUUUUCUUUACCAAAAAUUUGGUGCCCCU
This 1069-nucleotide long non-coding RNA is filed under the name Gossypium barbadense (sea-island cotton). Its description in RNAcentral is "long non-coding RNA (GBAR_LNC009900)". Lineage: Eukaryota; Viridiplantae; Streptophyta; Magnoliopsida; Malvales; Malvaceae. The record is from RNAcentral.